Molecule: ribosomal RNA, 471 nt
Filed under: uncultured organism
Description: partial 16S ribosomal RNA
Rfam family: Bacterial small subunit ribosomal RNA
Source: RNAcentral
CACUCCUGCGGGAGGCAGCAGUAGGGAAUCUUCCACAAUGGGUGCAAACCUGAUGGAGCAAUGCCGCGUGAGUGAAGAAGGUCUUCGGAUCGUAAAGCUCUGUUGUUAGAGAAGAACACGUGCUAGGUAACUACUAGCGCCUUGACGGUAUCUAACCAGAAAGUCACGGCUAACUACGUGCCAGCAGCCGCGGUAAUACGUAGGUGACAGGCGUUGUCCGGAUUUAUUGGGCGUAAAGGGAGCGCAGGCGGUCUGUUUAGUCUAAUGUGAAAGCCCACGGCUUAACCGUGGAACGGCAUUGGAAACUGACAGACUUGAAUGUAGAAGAGGAAAAUGGAAUUCCAAGUGUAGCGGUGGAAUGCGUAGAUAUUUGGAGGAACACCAGUGGCGAAGGCGAUUUUCUGGUCUAACAUUGACGCUGAGGCUCGAAAGCGUGGGGAGCGAACAGGAUUAGAAACCCCAGUAGUCCCA